Long non-coding RNA from Apis dorsata (giant honeybee), 529 nucleotides. RefSeq lists it as uncharacterized. The record is from RefSeq and is a predicted model, not a curated record. Lineage: Eukaryota; Metazoa; Arthropoda; Insecta; Hymenoptera; Apidae. The transcript is spliced from 2 exons.
GUUGGAAAGUAGGAAAGCACGCGGUAAAGUUUACUCGCGACGACGGGUACGAUCUCGCGGAGGUUUGGAGCGAAGCCAAAACACCACCGUGUGUUCCUCUCUACGUCCGCUGGACCAGUUUUCUUUAUCCGGCUUUUGCACCGCGAACAGAUUUCGAAACGACCGGUUCUCCUUCCACGAAAACGAAACGCCCGUUUUCGGCGGCGGCGGCGGCAGCGGCGACGACGAAAAUAAAGCGGCACCCGCGAUAUCCUUGCAAACUUUACGAUCCUGUAACGGACGCACGCACACGCGCACGCGCACAUACUGUCCGCCAUUUUCGAUGAAGGUACAUAACAUGGAUUGGGCAGAGGGCCUCGAAGCGAAGCGUCUUCCUCGCGUUCUCGUCACACGUGGCGAAUUAGGAGGAAAGAAAGAGAAGUAAUUUUUACAUCAGCUUGCGAAACUCGUCGCGAAUUAUCGUUUCGCAACGAUAAUCAACGAUCAGGUGGAAAAUAAAGGAUCGUUUACAACGGAAGGAAAAAAAAAA